Molecule: transfer RNA, 62 nt
Filed under: Mus musculus (house mouse)
Lineage: Eukaryota; Metazoa; Chordata; Mammalia; Rodentia; Muridae
Rfam family: tRNA
About the family: Transfer RNA (tRNA) molecules are approximately 80 nucleotides in length. Their secondary structure includes four short double-helical elements and three loops (D, anti-codon, and T loops).
Source: Rfam by way of RNAcentral
GGUGAUGUAGCUCAGUUGUAGAGUGCUUGUCUAAUGUACAAGGAGUCUGGCUUUCAUCCCCA